UGAGCUUUUCCCUUCGACCUCCACUACAGCCCUUAUCCUUCUUCACACACCUGUCACCUCUUCUCCUUUCGCAGUCUUGCAGGUUCAUGUCUUCUUGACCUUGUAAGGCCUUUUCUUGACCUUGUAAGACCCCAUCCUCCUUUGGUCCUCUUCGUCUCCUUCUCUACCACGGGCUUCCUCCUUGUGCUCAUCGACCAAGUCCUUUAUCGCCAAUUCCCUC
This 220-nucleotide long non-coding RNA is filed under the name Phoenix dactylifera (date palm). Its description in RNAcentral is "long non-coding RNA (PDAC_LNC002296)". Lineage: Eukaryota; Viridiplantae; Streptophyta; Magnoliopsida; Arecales; Arecaceae. The record is from RNAcentral.